RNAcentral lists this transfer RNA (64 nucleotides) under Elateroidea sp. BMNH 1274768. RNAcentral's name for it is "tRNA-Leu". It matches the Rfam family "tRNA". Rfam says of the family: Transfer RNA (tRNA) molecules are approximately 80 nucleotides in length. Their secondary structure includes four short double-helical elements and three loops (D, anti-codon, and T loops). The record is from RNAcentral. Lineage: Eukaryota; Metazoa; Arthropoda; Insecta; Coleoptera.
UCUAAUGUGGCAGAAUAGUGCAAUGGAUUUAAACCCCAUAUAUAAAAUUUUAUUUUCUUUAGAA